AAGGAUCAUUAUCGUGGGGCUUCGGCCCCGUCGAGAUAGCACCCUUGCCUUUAUGAGUACCUUGGUUCCCUCCCCCGUACCUCCGGGGAGCGGGAGGGGCCUCGUCUGUUUCCCCGCGGCGGCGAAAGCCCCCGGGGACCACGAAACACGCUGUAACCACCUGUAACUGUCUGAUAAACAAACAAAAAAUCAAAACUUUCAACAACGGAUCUCUUGGUUCUG
Molecule: unclassified non-coding RNA, 222 nt
Filed under: uncultured fungus
Lineage: Eukaryota; Fungi
Description: partial contains 18S rRNA, ITS1, 5.8S rRNA, ITS2 and 28S rRNA
Source: RNAcentral